Molecule: ribosomal RNA, 662 nt
Filed under: Psathyromyia dendrophyla
Lineage: Eukaryota; Metazoa; Arthropoda; Insecta; Diptera; Psychodidae
Description: eukaryotic LSU rRNA
Rfam family: Eukaryotic large subunit ribosomal RNA
Source: RNAcentral
UAACUAGGAUUCCCUUAGUAGCGGCGAGCGAAGCGGGAAAAGCCCAGCACUUAGCCCAUUAAUUUUAAUUAAUUAACUGGGGAUGCAGUGUAUGGAGAGUUCAUUAGCUUAUUGCAAUAGAUAGUAGAUUCAAGUCCAUCUUGAAUGGGGCCCCUUAUCCCAUAGAGGGUGCCAGGCCCGUAGAAAUUGCUAUCUGUAAUUUGCGAACUUCUCUUGAGAGUCGUGUUGCUUGAUAGUGCAGCAUUAAGUGGGUGGUAAACUCCAUCUAAGGCUAAAUAUAACCACGAGACCGAUAGAGAACAAGUACCGUGAGGGAAAGUUGAAAAGAACUCUGAAUAGAGAGUUAAAAAGUACGUGAAACCGUAUAGGGGUUAAGCCCGUUGAAUCUAAAUAUCCGAUGGAUGAAAUUCAAUACUGUUUUUCUAUUAAAAUUUUUUUGAUGGUUAAGCAAUAUGCACUUUUCAUCUAGUAGGACACUGCAAUCUGUUAGAUUAAAUAUAAUUGCUUGCAUAUUAUAUUUGAACUUAUCAAUGGAAUUUUUUUAGAUUGUUUACCUGUUAAUAGUACUAAACAUACUAUUCGGUAAAUCUAUUUGGGAAUUUCGAUAAUGUUUGACUGACAGAUUACAAAAAAUCAUACAACAUGCAUAUGUAAUUCCCCUU